Molecule: ribosomal RNA, 194 nt
Filed under: uncultured bacterium
Lineage: Bacteria
Description: partial 16S ribosomal RNA
Rfam family: Bacterial small subunit ribosomal RNA
Source: RNAcentral
UAAUACGAAGGGAGCAAGCGUUGUCCGGAAUCAUUGGGCGUAAAGAGCGCGUAGGCGGCCCUGUAAGUCCGCUCUGAAAGUCAAAGGCUCAACCUUUGAAAGCGGGUGGAUACUGCAGGGCUAGAGUCCGGAAGAGGCGAGUGGAAUUCCUGGUGUAGCGGUGGAAUGCGCAGAUAUCAGGAGGAACACCAACG